UGGCGAUCUAUCUCUUUCAGUUUUCAAUCAAACUCGUCCAGUCGUUGUUGUGACACAUCAAGAUGCCGCAAGUAACCUGAGGUAGAACCUUCCCCAAAAGAAGAUCUAGAUGGAGACUGCGACCUUUUCCCCUUGUGCUGAGUUUGUCGAGAGGAACGUGGAGACCAGCGAUCGUCGAAAUCAGCAUGCGAAGCACACCGAGACUUCGAACGCAAUGGCCAUCGGGUAGGUGGAGAACUUGCUCGAUGGGAGUGCCGCACAAAGUGGUGGGUUGGAGAUCGCGGUCGGUGGCUGCACCUGAAAGGUGCAUCAUACGAUGUGACCUCUUGCAAGCACUGUUG
Molecule: long non-coding RNA, 341 nt
Filed under: Elaeis guineensis (African oil palm)
Lineage: Eukaryota; Viridiplantae; Streptophyta; Magnoliopsida; Arecales; Arecaceae
Description: long non-coding RNA (EGUI_LNC015700)
Source: RNAcentral